CUUUGUAUUGGAAGAAGAGAUUGUUAUUUAUUAGACAAAAAAUAGUAAGAGAACCAACGUUACAUUUAAUACUUGAGGUAAUAUUGGAAACUAAGCAAUUAAUGCUUACUUGAAAUUCUUAAACGAUUUAUAUUAAAGAACAAAAAUAUUUCUCUAAAACGACUUAUAUUAAGGAACGGAGGGAGUAUUCGGGAUCGGGGAUUGUGGGGUGAGGAAACAAAUAUCAUCAACUCUCCGUCCUCAUAAAUAAUAUUCAAUGAUUCUCCAUCAAAGAUCUCAUCUCCGAUCAAAGUUAAAAAAAUUACAGUCGGAGUUUAGAAUAGAACGUGAGGAUCACCCUGAUGAUGAGGCAAAUUGGCAUCCAUAUUCCAACCCCAAACAUAAUUUUUGAAACACCAGCCCAAUAUAAAAAGGACAAUUAUUUCCCAACAGUAGAUUUGUUACUUUGUGAAUUAUUGAAGAACUCAUGCCAAGUCCUUCUUCUUCCAAUUACCCUAAAUAUAAGAAAAUAAAAAGGAGUGAGAAGGUUGUAGAGCCCAACUGUAGGAAUGGGAAAGGGGAGGUUGGCAUCUCCCAGACAAGGAAGGGCCAGGGCAUGUCUAUUUGACAGUAGGCUGACCACCACUAUCUUAUUAUAUAGUACUACUAGUUGGAGUAUAUCUUAUGAAAAAAG
Molecule: long non-coding RNA, 673 nt
Filed under: Panax ginseng (ginseng)
Lineage: Eukaryota; Viridiplantae; Streptophyta; Magnoliopsida; Apiales; Araliaceae
Description: long non-coding RNA (PGIN_LNC016234)
Source: RNAcentral